RNAcentral lists this ribosomal RNA (204 nucleotides) under uncultured bacterium. RNAcentral describes it as "partial 16S ribosomal RNA". It matches the Rfam family "Bacterial small subunit ribosomal RNA", at positions 1299 to 1500 of the family's 1533-position model. The record is from RNAcentral.
UGCAGCCUGCAACUCGGCUGCAUGAAGCCGGAAUCGCUAGUAAUCGCGGAUCAGAACGCCGCGGUGAAUACGUUCCCGGGUCUUGUACACACCGCCCGUCACACCAUGAGAGUCUGUAACACCCAAAGCCGGUGGGAUAACCUUUAUAGGAGUCAGCCGUCUAAGGUAGGACAGAUGAUUAGGGUGAAGUCGUAACAAGGUAAC